Molecule: non-coding RNA, 348 nt
Organism: Cajanus cajan (pigeon pea)
Lineage: Eukaryota; Viridiplantae; Streptophyta; Magnoliopsida; Fabales; Fabaceae
Source: RefSeq, a predicted model, not a curated record
CAAAACCUGCACUGAUUGAAUUUCAUUUUUCAUAUGACUCGCACGCAAGAGAAACACGAUGAAAUCCGCUAGGGCACGCCAAGGUGUUAGACACAUUAACAUCAUCAAAAGAGAUCGUUGACCUUUUGAAGACUGUGGAUUCCCUUUUCCAUUCCAUAUAAGCUGGAUCAAGCAAGCCAAUGUUGAAUAACUUGUACAGAUAUAUUCCUACUAUCCGUGAACAGUUGCAGGUUCAUCAUUGAUGGAACACAUAAGGCAAAAUCAAAGGCCUCCCAAAUCACAGGUACUGCAUUGUUAGAGGAAUUGCUAAAUACAGCAUAAUUUCUUGCCUUCAGGUUGUCAAUUGUG